GAGGUGGGAGGGGGUGGAGACCCAUAAAACUGCGAUUUAGAGAGCGUUCCUGCCAAAAUCUAAUUGUUUUUUCACCCAUCAUCCUUGUACCCGCCCACUGUACCUGCUCCCAUCAAUCGUGGCCGCGGAUUGCGGGCCCGGCGUGAUCCCGUUGAUUCCGUCCAUCCCCCACGCAGAACAACACUCAACCUUCUCCUCCACCCUCCCCUCCGCCCCGCGCGUCCUCGGGCCUCGCCGCCACCGUCGCUACGGGCUUCCCUCCUCCGCACGGCCUGCACUGGGCUGUCGUCCCCGGACCUCUCCAUCUAGCUCUCGCUGCUCGCAUUCCCACCCUCGCCGGCCAAUGGUGCCGCCACCAUCACCGGGCCACUCGUGGCCGCCUCCUUCGCCCGCGAGGCCACGACUGCGUCGAGGACCUGUACCCCGGGGCCACCGUCUACAGCCCCGAGCUACUCCGCCCGCACCAUCCGUGCCGGCCCUCCAAUCCACGCGCCACCUCCUCCUUCAUCCUCGGGCAAGGACGAGCCCCCCAUGCCAAAGAUGAGCGACGGGUCGACGCAUGGCCCAAUCCCUGGCCGGCAGGAGGAGCAGAUGGGCGGGGGCGGCGGGGACGAAGCUAGGGCUGGCGAAUUCACAUGUGCGGGAGUAAAUGAGAAAACAUGGAAUUGUGCAAGAGCUAGGAAGCAAUCUCAGGUUGAUAGUGGUGAAAAAGGGCAGCAGCCUCAAUCCAGGCGGCCAAGCGGCGACCCAGUCUCCAUCUCGCCUUGGGCCUCGCUGCCGUCUUUGCUCAGUCCCUGUCGAUUACGCUUCCUGUCUACUAUUUAUU
Long non-coding RNA from Panicum virgatum (switchgrass), 826 nucleotides. RefSeq lists it as uncharacterized. NCBI's taxonomy places the organism in Eukaryota, Viridiplantae, Streptophyta, Magnoliopsida, Poales, Poaceae. The transcript is spliced from 3 exons. The record is from RefSeq and is a predicted model, not a curated record.